RNAcentral lists this transfer RNA (69 nucleotides) under Cyclommatus strigiceps vitalisi. RNAcentral describes it as "tRNA-Gln". Lineage: Eukaryota; Metazoa; Arthropoda; Insecta; Coleoptera; Lucanidae. The record is from RNAcentral.
UACAUUUUAGUAUAUGAUGUACUGGAACUUUUGAUGUUCCAAGAGUCGGCUUGAGCCCGAUAAAUGUAG